This is a long non-coding RNA of Numida meleagris (helmeted guineafowl), 2202 nucleotides long. The record is from Ensembl. Lineage: Eukaryota; Metazoa; Chordata; Aves; Galliformes; Numididae.
CCUAUAGUAAAAUUUCAUGCAGUGUAUGCAUCCAACAUUUUGACCAAUGGGAUAGAUGUACAACAAAAAUACUGUGAAAGAGUUCUUGGGAUUUUCAGACAUAUGACAGCCUUCUAGCUCCAAGCUUUACUUUUUCCUGAAGGGAGCAAUGGCAAGGAAGAACUUCCAGAGCAAGAUCAGAAAUCUCUCUUACAAAUAUGAAGUAUCAGAAGCAGUAUGCAAGUAUCAAUCUUUUGUUGAGACACAGAAGAAAAUUGAGAACUGCCGUGAGCCCUGCUACCCUCUGUUAUUCAUUUUCUUACUAUCCCAAGAAAAGGAAUUGGCCAGUUCUACUGUAAUUAAAAAAACAGUUCUUAUCCACUAAUUCUGGUGGCUAGAGGACACUAACAUCAAGAAAUCCAUUUUCAUACAACAGUUCUUCAGAAAAACAGUGUUUUCACUUACUAAUUACCCUUGAACAUAUUCCUAAAGUUUGUGUGCAGUUUUGUGUAAUACUUAAAAUGUCAAUACUUUCUGUACUGUCUCUUAAUUUCAAGGUACAUUGAAUUUCAUGCAUAUGAAGACAGAAAGUAUUCCCUCUGUUUCUUUUCUUGGUUUAAUUCAUGCACUUAACAGGAGUCAUUUUAAAUCAUUUUCUCAGGGAAAAAGUUGAUGUCCUAUCUACUCAAGAGAAAAACACAUAUUUGUAAUUUUCUAAUAUGUGAGAUCUUAUACAGUUCUGUAAUUCAAGGCACAUAUUCCUCAGUAGUUCCAAUGAAGAUUCUAGUUUAUGAAAAAAAGAAUAUCUAUAGUGGUAAAAAAAGUUUAAACCAAUAGUGUUUUCAAAGUCGAAUGAUUCAUUUAAAUGUACACCUAUUCUUGGUGGCAGGUCAACAAAAAGCUGCCUGCAAUAUACAAAAUAAUACAUUAAUUUCAUCUGGUUUCACAGUGUUUGUAUUGGUAAAUGAAAGGACACAAAAAUAGGUUAAAGUCUCCUGAGGUCUUUUCAUGAAAUGAACAGCUUAGUAGGCAGGGCUGAAGGAGAGGAAAAGACAGCUGGGAAGCCAUUAUGUGGAUUAAUUCAAAAAGCCUUGGAUAAUAUCCCAGUGUUCUAGAAUUAGCUAAUGACAAAGUUGAGCUUUACGUCUCUUGUGUGCAAUCGCUUACUUUUGCACCUUUCAUCUGGCACUGUGUGCCCUUUGGCCAUUUCUGAGAAUGGAGAUGAGUUUUAACUCAUUAAUGUGAUAACAACUCAGCAGCUGAUAUUGGAGGCCUUGUGCUUAAUGGGCAUGUACACUGAAUUCUAGCAGGAUUCUUUUGUGGUGAGCAAGAAUGGAUCAGAGGGAACAACCUGAUUGCUCAGCAACAGCAGACAUACUGACUCUAUAUGGGAGAAGCUAUGUGAAUGACUCAUUCCAGUUGUCUCAAGAAGUAAUGACUGAGAAUAACAGCUUUAAUAGUAAAAGUGUAAUGUGACUAGGAGGGAUUUAAGUAAUACAAGGAAAAGGAAAACCAGAUAGCAAUAUGAAUACAAAGUAGUCUAAUAUUCUCGUUUCUGGAAGAUGUACUUUAUUAAUCCUAUGUUGACUCAAGUUUAUAUGUUUUCAGUCAGACUAACAUGAUGUUAAAACAAAGUAAUAUACCAGAAAAUUCAUCUUAAAAAAAAGAAAAAAAAUGAAAAGAAAAAGAAAGGAAGGAAGAAAAAAGUGAUAGAAGUUGUAGCAAUAUUGUUAAGCUUGCUAAUGCUCAUUGAGGGAUGGAUACCACUGUAGUUUGUUUAGAAAACAGGAAGAAUCUGUACCGUUGUACCAAGUAGAUAAUGAUGAUAUACAGAACUCCUUGUACCAAGUGGACAAGGAAGAUCUGCUUGAAUCAGCUAACUUUGAGAAAGCAAGCAUUGUGCAAUCAAGGCAAGGAGCAAACUGAGCAUAGGUGAAGACUGGGCUCAACCAGCAAACACAGUGAGGAAUAGUACUGAUUUCAUCUAGAGGGUCCUAGGACUACCAACACAAAAUGACUGAGCAUGUGCAAGCAAGCAGAACCCUACCUUAAUAAUUUUGUGGGAAGUAUUGAAUAUGUAUGUACUGCCUGGGAAAACCUUUGCAUAUGUAGCUCAAGUAAUGUAUAUAAGCUGAUGAUCUUUUAUGUCAGGUAUGCAUCAUUAGGUGGAAGGAUUCCCUCGUGUAUCUGGUGCCAGCAAUAAAGAAUGCCUGCUUUCUAACA